RNAcentral lists this microRNA precursor (168 nucleotides) under Pelobates cultripes (western spadefoot toad). Lineage: Eukaryota; Metazoa; Chordata; Amphibia; Anura; Pelobatidae. The record is from RNAcentral.
GCAGACACAUUCCAGCCAAUCAGCAGCAGACCCUCCCUCCCAGAUUCUCCCACCUCCUGGACAGCAUCCAUUUUACAUUUAUUGUGAAGCUGGAUUCUUAGUGAGCUGUCCAGGAGGUGGGAGGGUCUGGGAGGGAGGGUCUGCUGCUGAUUGGCUGGAAUGUGUCUG